Long non-coding RNA from Gallus gallus (chicken), 873 nucleotides. NCBI's taxonomy places the organism in Eukaryota, Metazoa, Chordata, Aves, Galliformes, Phasianidae. The record is from Ensembl.
GUCUCUUUUGGGUUCUCUGUGUAUUUGUGGUCUGCUGAAGGUUGUUGACAAGCUGAUCCCUUGAAGGAGCAGUCUGUGAAGGAAUCCAUUGGAAGAUGGUUGAGAAAUAUCACUGAAAUUAUCACCAUCAGUGCUCUUUUUCCUCAGUACUACUAUUUGUCUGCACUGUGGAUUUCAAUAUCACACCUGACAUGUUAGCAUGCAGAGUAAUGUCUCCAACCACAUGUUUUAGGUGUCUAUAUUAGCAAUUGAUGUGUGUGAAUAGUAAAUUAUUCUAUUCGUUUAUUAUUCCUGAUGACUAGUAAAUUAUUUUAAUGACAUUGACUAUUUUAUUUAUGCAUUACUUGAAAGUGAUUGGAAGUGAAUAGCUGUCAAAAAAAGCUUUGCAGCUGCAAAAAAUUACACUUCUACUUCUUAUUGUAUUCCCUUUACCCCCAAAUAGAUUUUACUAUUUCUAUCUUUCUGCCUGAUUCAGCCAGCUGCCACUCACUCAUUCACAGACAAUUAUAAUGCAUUCACAUCAUAUCCCAUCUGCUUGUGAUAGACUAUUGUUCUGUAGUGCAGUGUGUAGGGAAUAAUUUCUGAAUAUCCAUCUCCAGCUAAGAACUGUUCAUCCCUUGUCCUGUUGCCCCAACUGAAUGAAUUUUUGAUGUUCUGACUGGGUUGCUCUAAGAUGAGCUCGUCAUGAUCUCCAUAAUGCAUAUGUCUAAACUAAGUAUCUUAUUAAAUUUCUGCUCUUUCUUAAAAACUGAAUUAAUAAUGGUUUGGUUUAUUUUGUGGAACUUCUAACACUUUAGAUCAAGAAAUUGCUUUGUAAUGAGCAUGCUAUGUCAUUGAUAUAAUUACAUAAUAAAUGAUAAUUAAGAAUGCCUU